GACGAACGCUGGCGGCGUGCUUAACACAUGCAAGUCGAACGGUAAGGCCCUUCGGGGUACACGAGUGGCGAACGGGUUAGUAACACGUGGGUGAUCUGCCCUGCACUUCGGGAUAAGCCUGGGAAACUGGGUCUAAUACCGGAUAGGACUGCGGACCGCAUGGGCUGGGGUGGAAAGCUUUUGCGGUGUGGGAUGGGCCGGCGGCCUAUCAGCUUGUUGGUGGGGUGAUGGCCUACCAAGGCGACGACGGGUAGCCGGCCUGAGAGGGUGACCGGCCACACUGGGACUGAGAUACGGCCCAGACUCCUACGGGAGGCAGCAGUGGGGAAUAUUGCACAAUGGGCGCAAGCCUGAUGCAGCGACGCCGCGUGAGGGAUGACGGCCUUCGGGUUGUAAACCUCUUUCAGCAUCGACGAAGCGAAAGUGACGGUAGGUGCAGAAGAAGGACCGGCCAACUACGUGCCAGCCGCCGCUGUAA
Molecule: ribosomal RNA, 478 nt
Filed under: uncultured bacterium
Lineage: Bacteria
Description: partial 16S ribosomal RNA
Rfam family: Bacterial small subunit ribosomal RNA
Source: RNAcentral